UACAUGGGGUGCAAACGUUGCUCGGAAUUAUUGGGCGUAAAGCGCGCGUAGGCGGUUACUUAAGUCGGAUGUGAAAGCCCUCGGCUUAACUGAGGAAGUGCACCCGAAACUGAGUAGCUGGAGUACGAAAGAGGGUCGCGGAAUUCCCGGUGUAGAGGUGAAAUUCGUAGAUAUCGGGAGGAACACCGGUGGUGCAGACGGCUCUCUGGACCGUAACUGACGCUGAGACACGAAAGCGUGGGGAGCAAACAGG
This 253-nucleotide ribosomal RNA is filed under the name uncultured bacterium. RNAcentral's name for it is "partial 16S ribosomal RNA". It matches the Rfam family "Bacterial small subunit ribosomal RNA", at positions 524 to 776 of the family's 1533-position model. The record is from RNAcentral.